This is a small nucleolar RNA of Sorex fumeus (smoky shrew), 135 nucleotides long. RefSeq annotates it as U8 small nucleolar RNA. Lineage: Eukaryota; Metazoa; Chordata; Mammalia; Eulipotyphla; Soricidae. The transcript has a single exon. The record is from RefSeq and is a predicted model, not a curated record.
UUAUCAGGUAGGAUAAUCCUUACCUGCUCCUCUAUUCUGAGGGCAGAUAGAACAUGAUGACUUGAGUUUGCAUGAUUCAUGAUUAACUCCUCUGUAUGACUAGGGCUCACUACACCCUAAUAGCUCCUGCCUGAU